UUCCCUCUCUCUUCACUCUCACUCUUCGCUUUCUCACUGCAACCUCAAAACUCUCAAAUCACAAGCCAACCAUAACCAAACCCUCCUCAACUCUUCUUUCUUCUCACUUUUAUCUCUGUUACUCACUUAAUACAAAGUGGCAUACGACGACGAUUUCGGCAACGGCCGGCCUCGAGGUUUGCUCAAACGGUUGCUCUUCACAUCAAGUAGCUUCUAGACCUAUUGUAGGUAAACGUCUACUUCAAAUUUCUAGGUUUUUAGUAAUCUUUCAUGAUUUUGUAAAAAAAAUUUGUUUAAAAUUCUGGGUUUUGGAAAAUUCUUCAUUGAACUUUUUAUGUGAUUUCAGUAUUUCAUUUAAUUCCUUCCAUCUCAGAUUUCUUUAUGAUUUUAGAAAUUCUUAUAUUAAUUUUUUUUAUGAAGCAGAAAAAUCUGGAUUCCAUAUAUAGUUCCCAGAAAAAUAUAGGUUUAAAGCUACAUCUGGGUUCCAUGUACAGUUUGGGAUCCCUACAUGUAAUUUGCUAUCUAUUGCGGGUUUUGAUAAAACUGAGAAACAGGACAAAUCUCUUGGGAUUUUCCGGGUUCAAUCUGUGUGUAAUUUUCAGAAACAAAAAAUGGGAUUUCCAAAUUUUAAUCUUUUUUGGUAUUUUGGGUAUGCUCUGUUUGGAUGCUCAGAGAGAUGGGAUUUACUUUUGGAUAUGCUCUAUAAAAAAAGUACAAUUUACAUUUGGUUUUGGUUAUUUGCUGAUGGGAUGUUGUGAUGGGGUUUAGUAACUUUCAGUAUUCUUAAAUUCUUUUUAAUUUGCAAAAUUAAAUUGCCCAUCGAAUUAAAUUGAUAUUGCAUAUUGUCAUCAAGUUGACACUGACAACAAUGAAAUUACCAACUUAGAAUUAAGAGCUUUGUUAGUUUAUUCGAAUUUGAUGCUCCCUCAUAUGGUCAAGAAAUAUAUAUAGUUGUCUUAUAUUUUAUAAGAGAAAUUAAGUACAUUGGACAACAUCAUUCAUCCUCUAUGUUUAUUUUUAAUUGCUUUUCUUAAUCUAUUUUCCCGUCAUUUUUUUUCUACUAUGUAAUCUCAUUUGGUUUCGAUUUUCCUACAGUAUUCAUGUAAAAUAAAUACUUCAUCCGUAUACACUCUACAUCACUGCUCAGGUAUACAAUUCUUUUUUUUUUCUUGGUUAAUCAUUAUUUUCCUUUUACUCCAUUUUGAAUCUUUAGUUUGGAAGAAAGCUGAUAGACGUAAAUGGGUUUUAUUCUGGGUUUAAAAGGUCUGAUCUUUUUUAUUUUUUUAUUGCUAGAAAAAAAUAUGAUUUUUGGUUGAUUUGGUUGCAUAUUUGAAAGAGAGUGAGUGAAACACUAGAUUUUAAUUUAAUAAAUCAUACUACAUUCGCUAUUUACAUUUAUACCAAAAUUAUGAAUAGGAAUUUAAUCUUAUUUGAACGCAUCCCUGAGCAAUCUUACCUCAAGGCACAUCACCCAGGUAGGCCUGAUCAGCCAACUGCGUGUGCUCCAUCUUCUAAAAAGUUUGGUCAGUAUCUUAUGUCUUGGUUUGUGUUCAAGCUUGUGUUUCUUAGUUAAGUUUCAAUCAGUAUAUUGUCAUUCAUUUAUUUAAGAUGUGGUGGUAUUAAGAUGUGGUGGUACUGUUGAUGACAUGGCUAUAAAUCACAGGGUUUUUCAAUUUCUGGUAGAAAAAGAAAUUUAAGUUGAACAUAUUUUUUGUGUUUUGUUUUGUUGUUUGUGGUUUUGGAUGUGCUAUAUUGUUAUAGCUUAAGAAGAAAUUAAGAAAGUUUGGUCAUUUGCUUCUCGACUUAAAUUGGAUUGGUUUUUUUUUAAUUUAUAUUACAUGGUGUUUUUAAUGAUGUUGUUGCAGCUUUGAAAAAACAAAUUUGAGGUUUUUAUUUAGUGACACAAAUGAGUUUUUAUUUGGUUAAAGGAGGAAGGAAGAAUAGAGAGGGAGGUAAAUUGUGUCGGUAACUAGAGAUACUGGGUUCAGAAUUAUAUGAUUGGUUAUAGGGUGGAAAUCAAUUGAGUGUUGUUGUUUAUGUUUUGCUAAUUUUGUCAAGCUUGAAAAACAGAGAGGAAAUUAACCUUGAACAGCUCAAAGAAACAAAAUUGUAACAAAAACUUCCAGUGUUUAUUAAUGUGAGAAAAAUACAGCUUUCUCAGUUAUGCAAUGGUUUGAAUGCAAAAAAUAAAAUAAAAAAUAAAAAGAAAAAAGGUGUUUUGUGUAUCUGAUUUGUAACUACAUUUUUUAUUACAGAUUAUUGCCAAAGCAGUUUAUAUAAGCUACAAAGUGCUCUUGCUGAAAUAGAAAAAACAAUGGUGAGUCAGGCCACCAAGCAGUGACAAAUUUAGAAUUUACAAAUCUUCAUUAAUCAUAUUGAUAAUUAUUUACACACACACACAUAUAUAUGAUGCUAUUUGUAUGGUCCUUUAAAAUUUUCUGGCACAUAAAAGCAAGUUAAUUUUAUACUUUUCAUUUAUGUCAUUUUUGGUGUGUUUUAUUUUUGUGAAGCAAUAUAAAUUAAUUAGAUCAUAUCGUUAUAUCCUCCAUGAGCUGAUGUGCUUGAAGCUUUUAUUUUUUUCCUUUGUUUAUUUUUGUUAGAAAUUAGAAACAGAGGUGAAACCAUGUUUGAUGGUGGUUGUCCAUUUUUGUUACUUCACAUGUCAAUGAAUUUGUUGCUGAAUAAUAUUUAUGUUGGUUUUUCGUAGAGUUUGACAACGUGGAUUUUAACCUGGUUGUAUUUGUGUUGCAUGGCUGUACGCUAAAGGUUUAGCAUAAGUGAUUUAAACUACUGGAAUUGUUAAGUUCAAUUUUUUAGUAUUUGCUUUGGUCUUAUUUUUUACAACUUGAAUAAAGUUUCAUAUUUCCAUAAAGUGAUUCCAAUUAAUAGUUUCAUACAAAAUACUCACUCUAUGUUGCUAACUUUUCUUGCGCAACCAAUCACUCACAGCUCAUGCUAUUGAUAAUGUGAUUCGAAGAAUUCUCAGAGCUUGAUUCACCCAAUUUCUCCACCUCAUGUAAAAACUCUUUCCAACAGCUGAAGCAUUUAUAGGGUAAAUAACAUUAAUCUUCUGUAACAAUCUUUUAUUCCUUUGGAACAUAUUUUUUUCAUAUGCUUUUUAAUCCUACAGCAACACGCGGGUACUAUUUCUAGUAUAAACUAUACACACAUACAUAAUACACACAUAUACACACUACAUGAGCUCCAGAGAGCAUGCACUGCAUGCUGGCUCAUGUUGGAAAAUUAAAUAGAGCUUAGCUCCUGUUUAUAGGGACAUAAAGCCGGCAUAAUUAGUGUUUUAUGGCAGUUAAUAUGAGAUAAGAAUGCAUUUGAUGAAUGAUAUCUCCAAAUGGCUUCCAGGUGCCAUUGUGCAUGAGAUAAAUAACUUGGGUUUAACAAGUGGCUUUGUAAACGAUGGUGUGGAAGGUGGAGGUGUCAACUUAUGGAGUUAAGGGACUAAUAACAUGACAGCUGAAUUGGUGAUAAUUCAUAGAGUUAAGCUGGAGGUGUCAUAAUAUUAGGAAAUAGUGGCAGCAAAGAUCUUUUCUAAUAGUGAUAUUGCAAAAAUACUUUUAUACUAAAAUGUAUUAAUAAAUCUAACUAGAAGUAGUAUAUAUAUUAAUAUACUAAACAAAGCUUAAGUUGAUAUGUAGAUAAGAUUAAAAUACAGGUUCUCACAAUUCAUUCGUGUCAAUCCCCAUCUAAUUCUGUCAAAAUAUAAAUCAUUCACAUCUACUUUCAUUAUACCUUGAAUUUUAUGAGUUACUGAAUUCAUUCCAAUCCUAGACACAAGACGAGCUGUAAACAAAGGGCUUUGAAAUUACAUCUUUCAAUGUGUUGUUUGAAAAUUUCCUAAAUGUAUUACAUCAGCUUGGAUUGGCCAAGAUUGGUUUUGGAUGAGAUCUAAAUUGAUCCUCAAACGAGUCUAGGUUCUGAAUUCUAGUUCAAGCAAAGAAGGCGAGACUCAUUGAUAGAGUUUUGGCCAAGAAUAAUUUUGAGUAUAUUCAAAGAAUAUGUCGAGAAAUUGGAAUAUUAUCAUAAUUUUAUCACUUGGCAAACUCGAGCAUCAAAGAAUUAGUUCACUAUAAGUACAUGAAGGUUUGCAACGUAGAAAAGACUUCCAACCCAACACAUAAACAUACAAACAAACGCUCUACCCGAAACCCUCAGUCUAUGAUAAACCUUUUCAAAUCCUGAGAAAAAACACUAAGGGUGCGUUUGUUGCACCGGACUGUCUCGGACUGGACUAGCUUCAGGGACUAAGCUGGACUGGCUUAGACUAGACUAAGCUGGACUAGCUUAGUGAAACGUUUGAUGCAGUGUUGGACUAACAAGAAAAAUAAUAUUUAUUUAUUUCCUUUUUCUUUUUCCUAUUCCUUUUCAUUUUUUACCGAACACUCUUCCUUUUUCCAGACUCUCUCGAGAACCAGAGCUCUCCCUCUUCUUUUAUCCUUUUUGGAGUUUUUCCACACUCUCUCCCUCUCUAUACAUUUCCUCUUUUCUUGAAAACCAAAUCUCUCUCUCUCUCUCUCUCUCUCUCUCUCUCUCUCUCUCUCUAUCCCUUUCCCUUUUACAGAAAACCAUCUUGAUUGAAUGAAAGCUCUCAUUGUUUUUCUCCUUUUUAAUUCUUGAAAAGUUGUUAUGCGCAAAUCUGUGUUUGGUGAUUGAAAGAUGUGCAUAACUUCUAACGAAUUUGGUUUUGCAAUUCGAGUCUGGGAUUUGCGAUGGAAUCUGGGUUUCGCGAUUUGCAUGUGGGUUGCAAUUUCAGCAAAUCUGGGCUUUGUCUACUGGCUUUCGGGUAUGGGUUUUGCGAUUCGAAUCGGAGUGAAUCAAACGACGGCGAGACCAGGGAGAGAAUAUGACGGGUUCUGGGUUCUAACAGAUUCAAAACAAGCAGGCAAUGCGAUUCUGGGUUGGCGAGUGAUGACGAUGUUGGCAACUCGAGCAAACAAAGCGAGCAAAGAGAGGAGAUGAAGGAUGACGAGGAGAGGAACGUGAGAAGACGAAGACGCAGUGAAGGUCUUAGCAAUCCCAUGGUUAUUGGGGGGGUCUCGCUAAGACCUCUGAGUGAAGGGUUUUGUCCAUGCAAGUCCCCUUUAGUCUCAUUAAUGUUAAUCCCAGCAUGAACAAACACAGUAUUGGACUAACAGCUAGUCCAGUCCAGUCAAGUCCAGUCCCAUUUAGUGAGGGCAAACAAACGCCCCCAAAUUGCUUCAAUAACCCUUCCUCAACACAUAUUAUGUUCGGUUGAACAUCAAUUGGUUGACAAACUGGAGCCAUAUUUAGUUUGGUUGACAAACUAGAGCCAUAUUUAGUUCGGUUGAACAUCUAGAGCGGUGAAAUCGAGCUUGUUCAAGUUCAACAUGUCCCUGAAACGGAGGGACAAAAACAUGAUUAGUCAUAAGGUAAUCCAUAGACAUAUAUUGUAGAACAUACGGGUUCUAUAACCAUGUAUUGGUUUAAUUUAAGCAUGAAAAC
Molecule: long non-coding RNA, 5478 nt
Filed under: Malus domestica (apple)
Lineage: Eukaryota; Viridiplantae; Streptophyta; Magnoliopsida; Rosales; Rosaceae
Description: long non-coding RNA (MDOM_LNC015176)
Source: RNAcentral